GUUUGGUUUGAUAGUUUAUUUAUUCAUGUCUACUAUCCAAUGUGAUUCAUGUGCUUAUAUGAUUACUUUGAAUGUGAUUUGGAACGCAUUCCUAAAUCUCAUUCAUACUCUGGCCAGAGAUUCUAAAUCAUAUCAUAGAGUAUUCUCCCGCAAACGGUUUGAAGGUUAGAGAUCCCUUGUUGCGCAUUCACUUGCCUCCAUGA
RNAcentral lists this long non-coding RNA (203 nucleotides) under Malus domestica (apple). RNAcentral describes it as "long non-coding RNA (MDOM_LNC020131)". The record is from RNAcentral. Lineage: Eukaryota; Viridiplantae; Streptophyta; Magnoliopsida; Rosales; Rosaceae.